Molecule: ribosomal RNA, 515 nt
Filed under: uncultured archaeon
Lineage: Archaea
Description: bacterial SSU rRNA
Rfam family: Archaeal small subunit ribosomal RNA
Source: RNAcentral
AACCUUUACACUGCCCGACAGUGCGAUAGGGGGACACCGAGUGCGAGGGCAUAGAGCCCUCGCUUUUGUAGACCGUAAGGAGGUCUACGAAUAAGGGCUGGGCAAGACCGGUGCCAGCCGCCGCGGUAACACCGGCAGCCCAAGUGAUGGCCGAUAUUAUUGGGCCUAAAGCGUCCGUAGCUGGCCACACAAGUCCGUCGGGAAAUCCACUCGCUUAACGAGUGGGCGGCCGGCGGAAACUGUGCGGCUUGGGACCGGAAGAUCCGAGGGGUACGUCUGGGGUAGGAGUGAAAUCCCGUAAUCCUGGACGGACCACCGAUGGCGAAAGCACCUCGGAAGGACGGAUCCGACAGUGAGGGACGAAAGCUAGGGUCUCGAACCGGAUUAGAUACCCGGGUAGUCCUAGCCGUAAACGAUGCUCACUAGGUGUGGCGCAGGCUACGAGCCUGCGCUGUGCCGUAGGGAAGCCGUGAAGCGAGCCGCCUGGGAAGUACGUCUGCAAGGAUGAAACUUAA